RNAcentral lists this ribosomal RNA (408 nucleotides) under uncultured bacterium. Its description in RNAcentral is "partial 16S ribosomal RNA". It matches the Rfam family "Bacterial small subunit ribosomal RNA", at positions 30 to 526 of the family's 1533-position model. The record is from RNAcentral.
AUUGAACGCUGGCGGCAGGCUUAACACAUGCAAGUCGAACGAAGUGGCGAACGGGUGAGUAAUACGUGAGUACCCUGCCCUCCUUUUUGGGAUAAGCCUUGGAAACGGGGUCUAAUACCGAAUAAAGGGGGAUGGGCUCGCGGCCUGUCAGCUUGUUGGUGGGGUGAUGGCCUACCAAGGCGGUGACGGGUAGCCGGCCUGAGAGGGUAACCGGCCACAUUGGGACUGAGAUACGGCCCAGACCCCUACGGGAGGCAGCAGUGGGGGAUAGUGCACAAUGGGCGAAAGCCGGAUGCAGAGAUGCCGCGUGGGGGAUGAAGGUCUUCGGAUUGUAAAGCACUUUAAGUUGGGAGGCGUUACCAACAGAAUAAGCACCGGCUAACUUCGUGCCAGCCGCCGCGGUAAGAC